This 63-nucleotide transfer RNA is filed under the name Amynthas deogyusanensis. Its description in RNAcentral is "tRNA-Gly". The record is from RNAcentral. Lineage: Eukaryota; Metazoa; Annelida; Clitellata; Crassiclitellata; Megascolecidae.
GUGUUUUUAGUAUAUACAGUACACUUACCUUCCAAGUAAGAAGAUUAGUAAUUAAAAAACACA